GUUCGCUUCCUUAGAUGCUAUCAACACCACCUCAUUCGACGCAGAUCAGUACAUGAAUCUCUUGGCGCAAAAAUCAAAUUUGGAAGGGCUUUUGCAGAAGCAUGUGGAAAUGGCGGCUGA
Jatropha curcas is the source of this 120-nucleotide non-coding RNA. The record is from RefSeq and is a predicted model, not a curated record. Lineage: Eukaryota; Viridiplantae; Streptophyta; Magnoliopsida; Malpighiales; Euphorbiaceae.